RNAcentral lists this ribosomal RNA (447 nucleotides) under uncultured bacterium. Its description in RNAcentral is "partial 16S ribosomal RNA". It matches the Rfam family "Bacterial small subunit ribosomal RNA", at positions 29 to 523 of the family's 1533-position model. The record is from RNAcentral.
AACGAACGCUGGCGGCAGGCUUAACACAUGCAAGUCGAACGCCCCGCAAGGGGAGUGGCAGACGGGUGAGUAACGCGUGGGAAUCUACUCAUCUCUGGGGAUUACCUCUGGGAAACUGGAAUUAAUACCGCAUACGCCCUACGGGGGAAGGAUUUAUCGGGGAUGGAUGAGCCCGCGUUGGAUUAGCUGUUUGGUGGGGUAAAGCCCUACCAAGGCGACGAUCCAUAGCUGGUCUGAGAGGAUGAUCAGCAACAUUGGGACUGAGACACGGCCCAAACUCCUACGGGAGGCAGCAGUGGGGAAUAUUGGACAAUGGGCGCAAGCCUGAUCCAGCCAUGCCGCGUGAGUGAUGAAGGCCUUAGGGUUGUAAAGCUCCUUCACCGAUGAAGAUAAUGACGGUAGUCGGAGAAGAAGCCCCGGCUAACUUCGUGCCAGCAGCCGCAGUAA